UGUAUUAUUCAAAUAUUACAUAUGCAGGGUAUGAUGAUUUUGUCCUAAUUUUAUUUGUCUUAUUUUGUAUCAUUAUAUUAUCAAUGUAAAUUCAACAUUAGUCCAGUGAUUAAUGUAUUUAUAGAACACAAUGUACAGUUGUUUAUCAAUUCAUGUUCAAUACAAUAUAAGAACAAUAACAAGGGCUACUGUCGAUUAGAUAUAAAGGAGAUUUCUUGGAAAAACAAGACAAAACAUAGCAAUUAUGAGGCAAAUCAUAUAUUGUAUGAUAAACAUUGAUCUAUAGAGUUGAAAACUGCUUAAUAAAUAAAAGAAGUUUGAUAAGUUGUUAUAUGGUAACAUAUCUUGUUUAAAUAUCAUUUCAGAUAACAAAAAAAAAAGGUAGCGGAAGAAUUUAUUGAACUAAUGGAUUGUUCUUGUAUCGAUUCUUAUAUAAAAAAAAGUUUUAAGGAAUAAAAUUAUCAGCCAGUGAUAAGAAGAACAGCAGUAUUAAAAAUAUCAGAAUAUAAGUAUUGAAACCACCAAGUAAGUUGGCAGUCAAAGAAAAUACUUGAACAAAAUCAAAGAAAAAUAAUAAAGUAUCAUUAUUACUUUACAGUAAGAAAUUACAAUCAAAGUUACAUACAUCUGAUAAUACUGUAAGUGAAAAUUGCAGCUUAUUAAAUCAUAAUCUUUAUAAUCUAUAAAUUACCCGAUAAAAUGUAUUUCUAAUAUUAAUAAUUAGUAAAAAAACAAUUUUUCUGACAGGCUAAAAAAAUAUUCACUCUUAGAAGAGUUAAUAUUUAUAUAACAUUUGAUCAGAAAACAUGAUUGAAAUAAAAGGCAGCGCAAAAAGCGAUCAUAUUUGACAUUUGUAAAGUAUUUAUUAUCUUAUUAGAAGAUUAUAUGUACCACUGAUACUUUGCUAAGCAUCUAAAAUAUUGUUUAUUAAAAUGAAAAUAUAUAUUGUCGAUCGACGAGUAGAUUAAUCUUCUG
Molecule: long non-coding RNA, 975 nt
Organism: Bombus pyrosoma
Lineage: Eukaryota; Metazoa; Arthropoda; Insecta; Hymenoptera; Apidae
Exons: 2
Source: RefSeq, a predicted model, not a curated record